AGUGAACGCUGGCGGUAGGCCUAACACAUGCAAGUCGAACGGCAGCACAGUAAGAGCUUGCUCUUACGGGUGGCGAGUGGCGGACGGGUGAGGAAUACAUCGGAAUCUACUUUUUCGUGGGGGAUAACGUAGGGAAACUUACGCUAAUACCGCAUACGACCUACGGGUGAAAGCAGGGGAUCUUCGGACCUUGCGCGAUUGAAUGAGCCGAUGUCGGAUUAGCUAGUUGGCGGGGUAAAGGCCCACCAAGGCGACGAUCCGUAGCUGGUCUGAGAGGAUGAUCGGCCACACUGGAACUGAGACACGGUCCAGACUCCUACGGGAGGCAGCAGUGGGGAAUAUUGGACAAUGGGCGCAAGCCUGAUCCAGCCAUACCGCGUGGGUGAAGAAGGCCUUCGGGUUGUAAAGCCCUUUUGUUGGGAAAGAAAAGCAGCAGGUUAAUACCCCGCUGUUCUGACGGUACCCAAAGAAUAGGCACCGGCUAACUUCGUG
Molecule: ribosomal RNA, 492 nt
Filed under: uncultured bacterium
Lineage: Bacteria
Description: partial 16S ribosomal RNA
Rfam family: Bacterial small subunit ribosomal RNA
Source: RNAcentral